Molecule: long non-coding RNA, 931 nt
Filed under: Salvia miltiorrhiza (redroot sage)
Lineage: Eukaryota; Viridiplantae; Streptophyta; Magnoliopsida; Lamiales; Lamiaceae
Description: long non-coding RNA (SMIL_LNC009682)
Source: RNAcentral
UUUGCAUAAAGAAGAAAAGAGAAAGAAGAAUAAGAAAAGGGAAAAGGAAAAGGUGUGUCCACCAAGCUUUGCUCUCCACCAAGCUUUGCACUCCACCAACUCCCUUCCCCACCACCACACGCAAGAAUGCAUUAACAUUCCCUUAUACCUGCAGCAAUGUUAUAACAGAGAAUUUCUUGCAUAGUCGAACACCAUCACAAACAUCAAUUUACAGCAACUCACUCCCACCCAUCAUCUGGAGAAAUCAACAACAAAAGCCACCAACAACAAGCAUAGAAGGUAUAUACUAAGCUCAGCUCCAGUUCAUACAUCAUAUCAUCAAGCAUAUGUUUAAAAGGAAAUACAUAGUAUACAGGUGUGUAUAUAUAUGCAUAGAUGGAUUAAGCAAUCACGAAAUCAAAUUUUUACCUAUGUUUCCUUCACAAGGCACUAAGAAACUCUUGAUACAGAAACAGACCACUAUAGCUAGUAGAACCCUUGCAUAAUCGACAUAGAAUAAAAGCUUCAGGAAAUGGGUGUAUAUUACACUUUGAUAGCUAUAGUUCAUCAAGAGAUUCACGAACGAGGAUUUGUAAUAGCAUAGAAGUUAAACUUAGCUUUGGAGAAUAAGGGCCGACUGCCCAAGCAACUGCCGAACCCCGACGCCGGACGGAACUGGCGGAAGCUGAACGACGCCGGACCUAAGCUCGGCGGCAGCCGACGCCGGUUGGAGCAUAGAAGGCGACUGAAUCUCGACUGAUGUUGAGAGAGGCCGACUGAUUCUCCGGAUUCCGAACGAAGGAGCAGCAGCGACCGACGACGGCGCUCUCCCAGACGACGACCGCUGACCACCGGACGAGCAGCAGCAGUCGGCGGCGACUCCAGGCGAAGCAGCAGCCGCUCCAGACGGCGGCGAUGGCUCCAGACAAGGGCGUGACAGCAGCGGCGACCU